This 2158-nucleotide long non-coding RNA is filed under the name Drosophila guanche. The record is from RNAcentral. Lineage: Eukaryota; Metazoa; Arthropoda; Insecta; Diptera; Drosophilidae.
CAUAUACGAGUAUAUGUGUAAAAACGAUGAGGAUGAAGAAAUCGUACAAAUUUUUCGGCAUAAAGUAUAACGUAAAAAUAAAGAUAGGAAUAACUGUUGGAAAAGUAAUGACAGUUGGUGUGACUUUCAGGAUUGAGUGUUGAUUGAAUUUAUGUUUACAUCCGACCGAAGGCUUUCUUUCAUAAUUUAUUUUUUUACCAUACAUUUUUGUUUUUUAGUUUGAAAUUUGAAUGCAACAUGACUUGAGUUACACAUGACACACAAGAGAUAUCUCUAUGUUAAAGGCGAAUUCGUUUCAACUUUGUUCUGAACUGCAAAGUUUUCAAAUCAACCAAACGAAGUUUUCAUCAUUUGAACUAAAAUAAGAAAGAAAGAACGGUUCGAGCAGAGACAACAGUCCAGCAUUUUGGGAAUAGAGUUUGAUGCAGGUGAAUGUGUAUUUAAAUGUACUUUAACUACGUGAAUAUGUAUAUGUAAAAGAAAACAAAACAAAACAAAAAAAUGGAAAAAAGAAAAUAGUUUUAAACAAAGCAAACUCAGGGCAUUAUCAAGACUCACGACGAUGUAUACAUGCAUUUAAUACAACAAACAAAAGAAAAGAAAAGAAAAACCAACUUUUUCGAUAUGUAUUACAAUUAUAUUGGUAAUGAAAAACCAAUGAAUAAGGAUGUAAUAAUCAUGCAAAAACGAUUAUGAACAACUCAGGUAUUUAAUAUUAAUGGAAAUAUUUUUAAAAACUUAAAAAACGAAAUGAGAAACGGCAGUCAAGUCAACAUUUUCACACGUUGUGCAAUAUUCUUAAAGUUUUCUAAAUACGUAAUAGUAUUAAUACUCUUAAAAACAAAAAAGGUUGAUCAGUUGAGAGUUGAGAUGUUCAUAAGGAAGGGAAGGCAAAGGCAAAGGCAAAGGCAUGGCAUGGGAAGCGUGAGGAUAGGAGGUGAGUUUUUGAAGCACAUGAAGACUAGGCAUGUACUUACUACUCUUUUAGUAUUUUGUUUUUACCACCCACACAACAACAACCACAAAAACUACUACAAAGAACAACCAUUACAACCAACACACAGAUACACCAGACACACACACAAACAGAUAAAUACGCACACACACAUAACACACGAAAAAUAGUAAAAUAAAUAGCUAAAUGAAAAUGAGUUUAUAUAAAGAAGGAAAACAUAAAACUGUGAUUACAUUUGAUUGUCUUGUCGAAAGCGUUUGAUAAGCGAAUGUUGCAUAAUUAUUGAUCGAAAAAAAUUUAAGAAAAUGGGAAAUACGAAAUAUGAAUGGAAUGGAAUUUUCUGAAACCGCUUUUGAGUUCGAGUAUUGGCAUAUGUACAUGUACGUACCGGUCUGUCGAGAGUGCGACAGAGCAUAAGUAAAUAAAUAUUUAAUUAGCCGAAAUAUUAAACUUCAAAAGAUCUUCUAAGGAAAAUACAAAUUACAUAUAAUUAUCUAAGUUAUUUGGGAUUAUAUUAGUGAUGCCUAACUCUUAUUUUACAAUACCUUAACAGCCCAAUCCAGGCUGAAAACUGAAGACAAAGCAACCCUUUGAUUUAGUUCUGCAUUUCACUGAUCGAUUUUCUGUAUGUAGUGCGCUUUUGUUAAAAAUUAAAGUCUGAGAUUUUACAUUUGCAUAUGUAAAUAUGUAAAUGGUUAAGGUAUACACCUAUUGAAGAAGGAAAUCUAACGAUUAAUUAAGUUUAUUGAACUACAGAAAACCCACAAACACACACACAAUCGUAUAUGAAUUUGACUAUGGCUAUGUAUGUAUGUAAAAAUCAAGAAAAGUAAUGUAGAUGGAGAUGGAAUGGAAUGGAAAAGGAAAGGAAUGAAAACUAUGCUAUACUACAAUUUUCACACCAGACAUUUGAUUUCUAUAUAUAAAUGUAUGAAUAUCUAAAGAAAACGCAAGCGAGACAUUUAAGUAACAGCUUGAAUAUAUUUUAAACACAAAUUCGGGUUAAAAAUUUACGAUUAUGCCAUACAUUUUUGUGUAACAUAUAAAAAAACUACGAGUAAGCUAAAAGAACAACAGUCACGGAAAAGCAAACAAACACAUUGUCACAGAAACUCACAGAAAGCAUGAAGACGGAAAUGGAAAACUGAAUGAAAUUAAGCAUUAAAAGUAUAUGAACGAACCUAAAUUCAAUAAACUUGUUGC